Molecule: ribosomal RNA, 484 nt
Filed under: uncultured bacterium
Lineage: Bacteria
Description: partial 16S ribosomal RNA
Rfam family: Bacterial small subunit ribosomal RNA
Source: RNAcentral
UUGAACGCUGGCGGCAGGCUUAACACAUGCAAGUCGAGCGGGGGAAGGUAGCUUGCUACCGGACCUAGCGGCGGACGGGUGAGUAAUGCUUAGGAAUCUGCCUAUUAGUGGGGGACAACAUCUCGAAAGGGAUGCUAAUACCGCAUACGUCCUACGGGAGAAAGCAGGGGAUCUUCGGACCUUGCGCUAAUAGAUGAGCCUAAGUCGGAUUAGCUAGUUGGUGGGGUAAAGGCCUACCAAGGCGACGAUCUGUAGCGGGUCUGAGAGGAUGAUCCGCCACACUGGGACUGAGACACGGCCCAGACUCCUACGGGAGGCAGCAGUGGGGAAUAUUGGACAAUGGGGGGAACCCUGAUCCAGCCAUGCCGCGUGUGUGAAGAAGGCCUUAUGGUUGUAAAGCACUUUAAGCGAGGAGGAGGCUACUUUAGUUAAUACCUAGAGAUAGUGGACGUUACUCGCAGAAUAAGCACCGGCUAACUCUGUG